RNAcentral lists this long non-coding RNA (503 nucleotides) under Mytilus galloprovincialis (Mediterranean mussel). The record is from RNAcentral. Lineage: Eukaryota; Metazoa; Mollusca; Bivalvia; Mytilida; Mytilidae.
AAGAGUGCACACACUGAAAUGUCUCGCCUUCUUAACUAAUCAUUGAUAUUAUGUUGAUAGUCCUAAGUAUAAAGCGUUAUUACAACUGUCACAUAAACUUAACAUUAAACAAGAUAGUUAAACAAAGACCAAUGAACCAUGAAAAUGAGGUCAAGGUCAGAUGAACCAUGCCAGGCAGACAUGUACAGCUAACAAUGCUUCUAUACAACAAAUAUAGUUGACCUAUUACUUAUAGUUUAAGAAAAAUAGACCAAAACACAAAAACUUAACACUGUCCAAUGAACCGUGCAAUUGAGGUCAUGGUCAAAUAAAACCUGCGGGACUGACAUAUAGAUCAUAAUAUAUUUCCAUACACCAAAUAUAGUUGACCUUUGGCAUAUAAUAUUAGAUAAAAAGAUCAAAACUUAAAAACUUAACUUUGACCACUGAACCAUGAAAAUGAGGUCAAGGUCAGAUGACAUCUGCCCGCUAGACAUGUACACCUUACAAUCAUUCCAUACAAC